RNAcentral lists this ribosomal RNA (375 nucleotides) under Triticum aestivum (bread wheat). RNAcentral describes it as "partial small subunit ribosomal RNA". Lineage: Eukaryota; Viridiplantae; Streptophyta; Magnoliopsida; Poales; Poaceae. The record is from RNAcentral.
GAGCAAGAAACGGUAGAUCAUUUGUUCUUUGAUUGUGUGGUUGCCAGGAAAAUAUGGAGUGAUAUAUCAAAAAAUUUCUCUAUUGAUUUAGGGUCAAAUUACCUAUCAAUUGCCAGGUUUUGGCCGGCUAACAAGAAACACACAGCUAUGAAUGCCUUUGUGGCUUGUGUCUUAUGGAACAUAUGGAAAACUAGAAAUAAUCAUGUGUUCAAUAAUGCUGUCUGGUCUGACUUGAAACAGAUAUGGUGGCAAGUCUGGAGGAUGCUCAAAAGAUGGAUGAUCCUGUACAAAGGGGAAACGCUGGAGAAGCUUCAGCAAAUCUCGCUCUGGAUAUCCAGCAUCCUCGUAGCGCCCUUUCAGUUGACAGAGGGGUGA